AAAAUCCGUCGACUUUCUAAGUUGUGAG
This 28-nucleotide transfer RNA is filed under the name Leersia oryzoides (rice cutgrass). Its description in RNAcentral is "partial tRNA-Leu". Lineage: Eukaryota; Viridiplantae; Streptophyta; Magnoliopsida; Poales; Poaceae. The record is from RNAcentral. RNAcentral also lists the same sequence under 1 other name.